GAAAAAUCAGUACAUAUGCCACAUGGUAAAACAGUUGCUUUAUCAUCUUGGAAGAUUCAGAUUCAAAUCCAGUAUAUCUGAAGAAAAAACCUGCCUCAGCCCAGGAUCGAAAUGGGGAACUUUGGAUUUAUGUCUCAACGUCUUACUACUAUACCAAAGUUCAAGGGAAUUUAGAGUAAAUUCCCUAGAAGUUUGGAUUAUAAAGUUUGUACAGAUCUAUGUAUGUCUAUGUAUAUCAGGCCAUGCAUUACAUAAAAUUAUAAAAUUAAUACAUUAAAAUUAUAACACUAAAUUUAAUGAAAUGUUUUUGGUUGAUAUACAACCAUCUUCAGUAUCAAG
Molecule: long non-coding RNA, 339 nt
Filed under: Androctonus crassicauda
Lineage: Eukaryota; Metazoa; Arthropoda; Arachnida; Scorpiones; Buthidae
Source: RNAcentral